This 329-nucleotide unclassified non-coding RNA is filed under the name soil metagenome. Its description in RNAcentral is "partial contains 5.8S ribosomal RNA, internal transcribed spacer 2, and large subunit ribosomal RNA". The stretch from base 2 to 120 matches the Rfam family "5.8S ribosomal RNA", at positions 36 to 154 of the family's 154-position model. The record is from RNAcentral.
UAUGAAGAACGUAGUGAAAUGCGAUAAGUAAUGUGAAUUGCAGAAUUCAGUGAAUCAUCGAAUCUUUGAACGCACAUUGCGCCCCCUGGUAUUCCGGGGGGCAUGCCUGUCCGAGCGUCAUUACAACCCUCAAGCUCAGCUUGGUGUUGGGCCCCGCCGCCCCGGCGGGCCCUAAAGUCAGUGGCGGUGCCGUCCGGCUCCGAGCGUAGUAAUUCUUCUCGCUCUGGAGGUCCGGUCGUGUGCUCGCCAGCAACCCCCAAUUUUUUUCAGGUUGACCUCGGAUCAGGUAGGGAUACCCGCUGAACUUAAGCAUAUCAAUAAGCGGAGGA